This 457-nucleotide long non-coding RNA is filed under the name Salmo trutta (river trout). RNAcentral's name for it is "lncRNA (ENSSTUG00000011548.1)". Lineage: Eukaryota; Metazoa; Chordata; Actinopteri; Salmoniformes; Salmonidae. The record is from RNAcentral.
UUUCCCUCGAAAACAAUUGUGAGGCAGUGACCCAGCAAGGUUUGUUAUUAAUUGAUUGAAGCUAAUAACAGUCCCAGGAUGUCUGAUGAAGAAGAUGCUCCGGGCUGACCUCCAGGCCAAUAAGAACGGGGUGUCCAUCAGGCGGAAUACAGGUCCCUGACCGAAAGCUGGGCUACCCUUCACUGGAGUGCUUCCUCCCAGCAUCCCCUCUGUGGUCAGGAUGGAGAAUUGCAUUGGGGAGAUAAUGUGCCUCGCUGCAGUCUGUCAAGAAACGGCCCACAUCGCUCAGCUGGUCGCCCGUCAGAAGUCCAGCAAGAGGGCGCCUGGCAGCUCCCAGAUGCUGAACUGUCAGAUGACGUCGAAAUUGGCUUCAAACUUUGUGUUCUAUGGUAGGUCUCGUCUGUCCUUGUCACAGUCAGUGUCAUCUGACAAUGGCUCUUUUUCUGAAUGUGUCUUU